AGAAGUCGCCUCCGUCCACUAUUCCUUGAAUUUGGGCCGGCGCUCUUUUGAACCGUGAACUCGAAACAAUUAUCGUGGAAUCGUUCCCUUCAAAUCACGCGCGCAACGUGCGCAGGAGGGCGUCCGCGGUCUUCUGUGACUAAAAAAGGGUGACUCAAGCAGUCAAUCGACAUGAAUUGGAAGCAUGGGAUAACAAAGCAGCAGCCUACGGUCUACCGUCCGGCUUUUGUUGGUAUUGAGGACUGAGGGAGAUUACGGCGGUGUGCGACAAGUGGUUCGGGGUUCGUCCCCACGCUUCCGUUUGCUUUCUCUUCGGGUGAGGCGGCGGCUCACUUCGCCAGGAAUGAAGGAGGGUUGUUCGGGGGGAAAGUACUUGCGCGUGAGAGGUGAAAUUCUUAGACCGCGCAAAGACUACUACAGCGAAGGCAUUCUCCAAGGAUACCUUCCUCAAUCAAGAACCAAAGUGUGGAGAUCGAGAUGAUU
Molecule: ribosomal RNA, 483 nt
Filed under: uncultured kinetoplastid
Lineage: Eukaryota; Euglenozoa; Kinetoplastea
Description: bacterial SSU rRNA
Rfam family: Eukaryotic small subunit ribosomal RNA
Source: RNAcentral